Molecule: ribosomal RNA, 2270 nt
Filed under: Salmonella enterica
Lineage: Bacteria; Pseudomonadati; Pseudomonadota; Gammaproteobacteria; Enterobacterales; Enterobacteriaceae
Description: bacterial LSU rRNA
Rfam family: Bacterial large subunit ribosomal RNA
Source: RNAcentral
AUAGGGGAGCCGGAGGGAAACCGAGUCUUAAUUGGGCGUUAAGUUGCAGGGUAUAGACCCGAAACCCGGUGAUCUAGCCAUGGGCAGGUUGAAGGUUGGGUAACACUAACUGGAGGACCGAACCGACUAAUGUUGAAAAAUUAGCGGAUGACCUGUGGCUGGGGGUGAAAGGCCAAUCAAACCGGGAGAUAGCUGGUUCUCCCCGAAAGCUAUUUAGGUAGCGCCUCGUGAAUUCAUCUCCGGGGGUAGAGCACUGUUUCGGCUAGGGGGCCAUCCCGGCUUACCAACCCGAUGCAAACUGCGAAUACCGGAGAAUGUUAUCACGGGAGACACACGGCGGGUGCUAACGUCCGUCGUGAAGAGGGAAACAACCCAGACCGCCAGCUAAGGUCCCAAAGUCAUGGUUAAGUGGGAAACGAUGUGGGAAGGCCCAGACAGCCAGGAUGUUGGCUUAGAAGCAGCCAUCAUUUAAAGAAAGCGUAAUAGCUCACUGGUCGAGUCGGCCUGCGCGGAAGAUGUAACGGGGCUAAACCAUGCACCGAAGCUGCGGCAGCGAACGUAUCACCCAAGACAACUUUACGGAGUUGACGAUUGACGGAGCGAAGCGACGUCAAAGCGUUCAUUAAAGUCGAGUUGGCUUAGGGAUACGUUCGUUGGGUAGGGGAGCGUUCUGUAAGCCUGUGAAGGUGUGUCGUGAGGCAUGCUGGAGGUAUCAGAAGUGCGAAUGCUGACAUAAGUAACGAUAAAGCGGGUGAAAAGCCCGCUCGCCGGAAGACCAAGGGUUCCUGUCCAACGUUAAUCGGGGCAGGGUGAGUCGACCCCUAAGGCGAGGCCGAAAGGCGUAGUCGAUGGGAAACGGGUUAAUAUUCCCGUACUUGGUGUUACUGCGAAGGGGGGACGGAGAAGGCUAUGUUGGCCGGGCGACGGUUGUCCCGGUUUAAGCGUGUAGGUGUGUGUUCCAGGUAAAUCCGGUUCACUUUAACACUGAGGCGUGACGACGAGGCACUACGGUGCUGAAGCAACAAAUGCCCUGCUUCCAGGAAAAGCCUCUAAGCAUCAGGUAACAUCAAAUCGUACCCCAAACCGACACAGGUGGUCAGGUAGAGAAUACCAAGGCGCUUGAGAGAACUCGGGUGAAGGAACUAGGCAAAAUGGUGCCGUAACUUCGGGAGAAGGCACGCUGACACGUAGGUGAAGUGAUUUACUCAUGGAGCUGAAGUCAGUCGAAGAUACCAGCUGGCUGCAACUGUUUAUUAAAAACACAGCACUGUGCAAACACGAAAGUGGACGUAUACGGUGUGACGCCUGCCCGGUGCCGGAAGGUUAAUUGAUGGGGUCAGCGCAAGCGAAGCUCCUGAUCGAAGCCCCGGUAAACGGCGGCCGUAACUAUAACGGUCCUAAGGUAGCGAAAUUCCUUGUCGGGUAAGUUCCGACCUGCACGAAUGGCGUAAUGAUGGCCAGGCUGUCUCCACCCGAGACUCAGUGAAAUUGAACUCGCUGUGAAGAUGCAGUGUACCCGCGGCAAGACGGAAAGACCCCGUGAACCUUUACUAUAGCUUGACACUGAACAUUGAGCCUUGAUGUGUAGGAUAGGUGGGAGGCUUUGAAGUGUGGACGCCAGUCUGCAUGGAGCCGACCUUGAAAUACCACCCUUUAAUGUUUGAUGUUCUAACGUGGACCCGUAAUCCGGGUUGCGGACAGUGUCUGGUGGGUAGUUUGACUGGGGCGGUCUCCUCCUAAAGAGUAACGGAGGAGCACGAAGGUUGGCUAAUCCUGGUCGGACAUCAGGAGGUUAGUGCAAUGGCAUAAGCCAGCUUGACUGCGAGCGUGACGGCGCGAGCAGGUGCGAAAGCAGGUCAUAGUGAUCCGGUGGUUCUGAAUGGAAGGGCCAUCGCUCAACGGAUAAAAGGUACUCCGGGGAUAACAGGCUGAUACCGCCCAAGAGUUCAUAUCGACGGCGGUGUUUGGCACCUCGAUGUCGGCUCAUCACAUCCUGGGGCUGAAGUAGGUCCCAAGGGUAUGGCUGUUCGCCAUUUAAAGUGGUACGCGAGCUGGGUUUAGAACGUCGUGAGACAGUUCGGUCCCUAUCUGCCGUGGGCGCUGGAGAACUGAGGGGGGCUGCUCCUAGUACGAGAGGACCGGAGUGGACGCAUCACUGGUGUUCGGGUUGUCAUGCCAAUGGCACUGCCCGGUAGCUAAAUGCGGAAGAGAUAAGUGCUGAAAGCAUCUAAGCACGAAACUUGCCCCGAGAUGAGUUCUCCCUGAGACUU